RNAcentral lists this long non-coding RNA (1835 nucleotides) under Nicotiana benthamiana. RNAcentral's name for it is "long non-coding RNA (NBEN_LNC038984)". Lineage: Eukaryota; Viridiplantae; Streptophyta; Magnoliopsida; Solanales; Solanaceae. The record is from RNAcentral.
UGAGCUCAGCAAACUAUAAUGAUUCCACAAUUUCCCAAAAAAAUAAAAAUAAACCGGGAAUGAUGAACUGACUUAUUUGAAAAUGCUUUUGCCGACUCGAGAACUCCAGUACAUACACAAGAAAAGCUAACAAUACAGUACUAACAUGCUAUUGAAGUUACCUCGAGUAGGUGAUAUGCAAAAAUUAGAUUCUUCCCAAACUUAAAACGUUAAUGAGUGCUCAAGCCAAAAGUAAAAUACCCAUACACAAAGCUGAGUCCUUACCAAAUACAUAUCGAUGCAUUCUGAUAAUUAUAAAAACCUCCCGAACCUGGGUUACAUACACACUCAAAUUCAUAAUUUCAUUAAGGAUUCAAAGCCCAUCGACCCUUCAUCAGUAACCAAAUCUACAGAGCUGACUACAUGCAGACCAAUAGUUCUAAUGACAACUCUAUUAUGAUUCCAACAUAGAACUCAAAAGCAGGACUUCAUAUUAAACAUGUUAAGCUAAGGGAAUUGCCAUGAUCUUUGAAAGAAACAAGUUACAUUGGGAAAAGAAAGGCUAAUAUCUAACAGCAAAGGCCAUGGUUCUUCAUGUAUUCCAUCACAAAACCUUACAAUCCCUUUUACAUGCUUAAGAUCGAAAGUGAGUACCUGGGAAUAAAACAAACACAAGGCAGAGUGAGGAAGCCGCAGUAUCCAAGGCAGAAAUCAGCAACAACUCAACCAAUUACUUAUUACACUCCCUGCUUGACCCUUAAGCCCCCUUAAGUUUCUAAUAGCUCGAAUGUACCCCACCCUUAAGUUCCUUUUGUUGAACUAAAACCCCUGGAUAAUCUGAACAUUUACAUACUAAGCCAAACAAUUUUCAGAUAGAAAUUGAUAGGCAAAUCGAAUCUAAUGGCAUUAAUUUCUAAAACUUAAGAUGUGAAAUGAAAAUAAAAAACAAACCAAAACUAGAACAAUUGAACUAUAGUUAGCAGGAAACAAAUAAUAAAUGAAUUAAUUCGAGAUACGACCUUGGAAACAAUUAAUAGCUCUUUUACAGGGAAUCAAACCCUGAAUAUACUGAUUUGGAACAAAUUUCCUAAGUCGGAUAACCCUAAAUGAAGAACUAAUCUUCUAAAGAUUCUGAUGAAUGAUUCAACCCUACAUUAACUAGCUAACAUCAAUGAUUAAUCACAAGAGAAAGAAAAUAAAAAUUAAUGGCCUAAAACUAGAGCCAACUGAACUCCUUUCAUUCUUAAAUCAAAAACAGAAACAAACAAGAAGAAAAGAAGCAAAGGAGAAGAAGUUGAAGAAUGACAGGAGGAUGAGGAAACAACAAGGAAUAAGAAGAACAAGUACCUAGGGUUUGAAGUUUUGCCGGCCUUUGGUCUUUCAUGGAGUCCGCUGAUCUCGAACUAAGCCAAAACUAAUGCUAAUUGAUUGUUCUUGUCAAGAACAAUCGAUUCUCAUGACUUUUGAUUCAAAUCAAACUUGCAACCUCCAAGAAAUCAAACAAAGAUGACGAUUUUAAGACGGUCUUUUCUUUCAAAACUUAGAUCCGAGAUUUGAACACAUCGUUGCGUGUUUUUGGGUAGUUAAAAAUGGGCAUAGGGCAACAGAGGUGUGGUGAUUAUCCAGUUAAAAGGUGAACGACGUUUGGCACGGCGCCGCCCGCCAGUAGAGCUUGGGCAUUUUAGGGAGGCUAGGGUUAAAUGUUGUGAGAGGUGAGGGAGACGAGUGAGGGGUUGUUUGGGAUGUAUAUGUAAAAAUCCCUAUAUUUUUACGGUGAAAUAUAACUUCAAUUAUGACAAUGCACUAAUUAUUCAUCACUUUAGAAUUACAACCUAGCAAUUUCCGGCCUACGCAAC